CGCGUAGGCGGCCCGGUAAGUCCGCUCUGAAAGUCCAAGGCUCAACCUUGGAAUGCGGGUGGAUACUGCCGGGCUAGAGUCCGGAAGAGGCGAGUGGAAUUCCUGGUGUAGCGGUGGAAUGCGCAGAUAUCAGGAGGAACACCCAUAGCGAAGGCAGCUCGCUGGGACGGUACUGACGCUAAGGCGCGAAAGCGUGGGGAGCGAACA
RNAcentral lists this ribosomal RNA (207 nucleotides) under uncultured bacterium. Its description in RNAcentral is "partial 16S ribosomal RNA". It matches the Rfam family "Bacterial small subunit ribosomal RNA", at positions 568 to 774 of the family's 1533-position model. The record is from RNAcentral.